UUAAGCGACUAAGCGUACACGGUGGAUGCCCUGGCAGUCAGAGGCGAUGAAGGACGUGCUAAUCUGCGAUAAGCGCCGGUAAGGUGAUAUGAACCGUUAUAACCGGCGAUUUCCGAAUGGGGAAACCCAGUGUGAUUCGUCACACUAUCAUUAACUGAAUCCAUAGGUUAAUGAGGCGAACCGGGGGAACUGAAACAUCUAAGUACCCCGAGGAAAAGAAAUCAACCGAGAUUCCCCCAGUAGCGGCGAGCGAACGGGGAGGAGCCCAGAGCCUGAAUCAGCAUGUGUGUUAGUGGAAGCGUCUGGAAAGGCGCGCGAUACAGGGUGACAGCCCCGUACACAAAAGCGCAUGUGCUGUGAGCUCGAUGAGUAGGGCGGGACACGUGGUAUCCUGUCUGAAUAUGGGGGGACCAUCCUCCAAGGCUAAAUACUCCUGACUGACCGAUAGUGAACCAGUACCGUGAGGGAAAGGCGAAAAGAACCCCGGCGAGGGGAGUGAAAAAGAACCUGAAACCGUGUACGUACAAGCAGUGGGAGCACAGGUUUACCUGUGUGACUGCGUACCUUUUGUAUAAUGGGUCAGCGACUUAUAUUCUGUAGCAAGGUUAACCGUAUAGGGGAGCCGGAGGGAAACCGAGUCUUAAUUGGGCGUUAAGUUGCAGGGUAUAGACCCGAAACCCGGUGAUCUAGCCAUGGGCAGGUUGAAGGUUGGGUAACACUAACUGGAGGACCGAACCGACUAAUGUUGAAAAAUUAGCGGAUGACCUGUGGCUGGGGGUGAAAGGCCAAUCAAACCGGGAGAUAGCUGGUUCUCCCCGAAAGCUAUUUAGGUAGCGCCUCGUGAAUUCAUCUCCGGGGGUAGAGCACUGUUUCGGCUAGGGGGCCAUCCCGGCUUACCAACCCGAUGCAAACUGCGAAUACCGGAGAAUGUUAUCACGGGAGACACACGGCGGGUGCUAACGUCCGUCGUGAAGAGGGAAACAACCCAGACCGCCAGCUAAGGUCCCAAAGUCAUGGUUAAGUGGGAAACGAUGUGGGAAGGCCCAGACAGCCAGGAUGUUGGCUUAGAAGCAGCCAUCAUUUAAAGAAAGCGUAAUAGCUCACUGGUCGAGUCGGCCUGCGCGGAAGAUGUAACGGGGCUAAACCAUGCACCGAAGCUGCGGCAGCGACGCUUAUGCGUUGUUGGGUAGGGGAGCGUUCUGUAAGCCUGUGAAGGUGUGUCGUGAGGCAUGCUGGAGGUAUCAGAAGUGCGAAUGCUGACAUAAGUAACGAUAAAGCGGGUGAAAAGCCCGCUCGCCGGAAGACCAAGGGUUCCUGUCCAACGUUAAUCGGGGCAGGGUGAGUCGACCCCUAAGGCGAGGCCGAAAGGCGUAGUCGAUGGGAAACAGGUUAAUAUUCCUGUACUUGGUGUUACUGCGAAGGGGGGACGGAGAAGGCUAUGUUGGCCGGGCGACGGUUGUCCCGGUUUAAGCGUGUAGGUGUGUGUUCCAGGUAAAUCCGGUUCACUUUAACACUGAGGCGUGAUGACGAGGCACUACGGUGCUGAAGCAACAAAUGCCCUGCUUCCAGGAAAAGCCUCUAAGCAUCAGGUAACAUCAAAUCGUACCCCAAACCGACACAGGUGGUCAGGUAGAGAAUACCAAGGCGCUUGAGAGAACUCGGGUGAAGGAACUAGGCAAAAUGGUGCCGUAACUUCGGGAGAAGGCACGCUGACACGUAGGUGAAGUGAUUUACUCAUGGAGCUGAAGUCAGUCGAAGAUACCAGCUGGCUGCAACUGUUUAUUAAAAACACAGCACUGUGCAAACACGAAAGUGGACGUAUACGGUGUGACGCCUGCCCGGUGCCGGAAGGUUAAUUGAUGGGGUCAGCGCAAGCGAAGCUCCUGAUCGAAGCCCCGGUAAACGGCGGCCGUAACUAUAACGGUCCUAAGGUAGCGAAAUUCCUUGUCGGGUAAGUUCCGACCUGCACGAAUGGCGUAAUGAUGGCCAGGCUGUCUCCACCCGAGACUCAGUGAAAUUGAACUCGCUGUGAAGAUGCAGUGUACCCGCGGCAAGACGGAAAGACCCCGUGAACCUUUACUAUAGCUUGACACUGAACAUUGAGCCUUGAUGUGUAGGAUAGGUGGGAGGCUUUGAAGUGUGGACGCCAGUCUGCAUGGAGCCGACCUUGAAAUACCACCCUUUAAUGUUUGAUGUUCUAACGUGGACCCGUAAUCCGGGUUGCGGACAGUGUCUGGUGGGUAGUUUGACUGGGGCGGUCUCCUCCUAAAGAGUAACGGAGGAGCACGAAGGUUGGCUAAUCCUGGUCGGACAUCAGGAGGUUAGUGCAAUGGCAUAAGCCAGCUUGACUGCGAGCGUGACGGCGCGAGCAGGUGCGAAAGCAGGUCAUAGUGAUCCGGUGGUUCUGAAUGGAAGGGCCAUCGCUCAACGGAUAAAAGGUACUCCGGGGAUAACAGGCUGAUACCGCCCAAGAGUUCAUAUCGACGGCGGUGUUUGGCACCUCGAUGUCGGCUCAUCACAUCCUGGGGCUGAAGUAGGUCCCAAGGGUAUGGCUGUUCGCCAUUUAAAGUGGUACGCGAGCUGGGUUUAGAACGUCGUGAGACAGUUCGGUCCCUAUCUGCCGUGGGCGCUGGAGAACUGAGGGGGGCUGCUCCUAGUACGAGAGGACCGGAGUGGACGCAUCACUGGUGUUCGGGUUGUCAUGCCAAUGGCACUGCCCGGUAGCUAAAUGCGGAAGAGAUAAGUGCUGAAAGCAUCUAAGCACGAAACUUGCCCCGAGAUGAGUUCUCCCUGAGACUUAGAGUCUCCUGAAGGAACGUUGAAGACGACGACGUUGAUAGGCCGGGUGUGUAAGCGCAGCGAUGCGUUGAGCUAACCGGUACUAAUGAACCGUGAGGCUUAACCUU
RNAcentral lists this ribosomal RNA (2906 nucleotides) under Salmonella enterica. RNAcentral describes it as "bacterial LSU rRNA". It matches the Rfam family "Bacterial large subunit ribosomal RNA". Lineage: Bacteria; Pseudomonadati; Pseudomonadota; Gammaproteobacteria; Enterobacterales; Enterobacteriaceae. The record is from RNAcentral.